AUUGAACGCUGGCGGCAGGCCUAACACAUGCAAGUCGAGCGGAUGAAGGGAGCUUGCUCCUGGAUUCAGCGGCGGACGGGUGAGUAAUGCCUAGGAAUCUGCCUGGUAGUGGGGGAUAACGUCCGGAAACGGGCGCUAAUACCGCAUACGUCCUGAGGGAGAAAGUGGGGGAUCUUCGGACCUCACGCUAUCAGAUGAGCCUAGGUCGGAUUAGCUAGUUGGUGGGGUAAAGGCCUACCAAGGCGACGAUCCGUAACUGGUCUGAGAGGAUGAUCAGUCACACUGGAGCUGAGACACGGUCCAGACUCCUACGGGAGGCAGCAGUGGGGAACAUUGGACAAUGGGCGAAAGCCUGAUCCAGCCAUGCCGCGUGUGUGAAGAAGGUCUUCGGAUUGUAAAGCACUUUAAGUUGGGAGGAAGGGCAGUAGGUUAAUACCUUGCUGUUUUGACGGUACCAACAGAAUAAGCACCGGCUAACUUCGUG
RNAcentral lists this ribosomal RNA (484 nucleotides) under uncultured bacterium. Its description in RNAcentral is "partial 16S ribosomal RNA". It matches the Rfam family "Bacterial small subunit ribosomal RNA", at positions 30 to 507 of the family's 1533-position model. The record is from RNAcentral.